UCCACAGAGCCUGAGUGCAGAACAGC
RNAcentral lists this non-coding RNA (26 nucleotides) under Mus musculus (house mouse). Lineage: Eukaryota; Metazoa; Chordata; Mammalia; Rodentia; Muridae. The record is from RNAcentral.